This 547-nucleotide ribosomal RNA is filed under the name Hansenula anomala. Its description in RNAcentral is "eukaryotic LSU rRNA". It matches the Rfam family "Eukaryotic large subunit ribosomal RNA", at positions 87 to 648 of the family's 3401-position model. The record is from RNAcentral. Lineage: Eukaryota; Fungi; Ascomycota; Saccharomycetes; Phaffomycetales; Wickerhamomycetaceae.
CGGCGAGUGAGCGGCAAAAGCUCAAAUUUGAAAUCUAGCACCUUCGGUGUUCGAGUUGUAAUUUGAAGAUGGUAACCUUGGGUUUGGCUCUUGUCUAUGUUCCUUGGAACAGGACGUCAUAGAGGGUGAGAAUCCCGUCUGAUGAGAUGCCCAUUCCUAUGUAAGGUGCUAUCGAAGAGUCGAGUUGUUUGGGAAUGCAGCUCUAAGUGGGUGGUAAAUUCCAUCUAAAGCUAAAUAUUGGCGAGAGACCGAUAGCGAACAAGUACAGUGAUGGAAAGAUGAAAAGAACUUUGAAAAGAGAGUGAAAAAGUACGUGAAAUUGUUGAAAGGGAAGGGCAUUAGAUCAGACUUGGUGUUUUACGAUUAUCUUCUCUUCUUGAGUUGUGCACUCGUAUUUCACUGGGCCAGCAUCGAUUCGGAUGGCAAGAUAAUGGCAGUUGAAUGUGGCUUCACUUCGGUGGAGUGUUAUAGCUUCUGCUGAUAUUGCCUGUCUGGAUCGAGGGCUGCGUCUUUUGACUAGGAUGCUGGCGUAAUGAUCUAAUGCCGC